GUUUCUAGUGGCGGACGGGUGAGUAACGCGUGGGUAACCUGCCUUAUACAGGGGGAUAACAACCAGAAAUGGUUGCUAAUACCGCAUAAGCGCACAGGACCGCAUGGUCCGGUGUGAAAAACUCCGGUGGUAUAAGGUGGACCCGCGUUGGAUUAGCUAGUUGGCAGGGCAACGGCCUACCAAGGCGACGAUCCAUAGCCGGCCUGAGAGGGUGAACGGCCACAUUGGGACUGAGACACGGCCCAGACUCCUACGGGAGGCAGCAUG
Molecule: ribosomal RNA, 267 nt
Filed under: uncultured bacterium
Lineage: Bacteria
Description: partial 16S ribosomal RNA
Rfam family: Bacterial small subunit ribosomal RNA
Source: RNAcentral